AGAGACUGGGAUAACACCUGGAAACAGAUGCUAAUACCGGAUAACAACACUAGACGCAUGUCUAGAGUUUGAAAGAUGGUUCUGCUAUCACUCUUGGAUGGACCUGCGGUGCAUUAGCUAGUUGGUAAGGUAACGGCUUACCAAGGCAAUGAUGCAUAGCCGAGUUGAGAGACUGAUCGGCCACAUUGGGACUGAGACACGGCCCAAACUCCUACGGGAGGCAGCAGUAGGGAAUCUUCCACAAUGGACGAAAGUCUGAUGGAGCAACGCCGCGUGAGUGAAGAAGGGUUUCGGCUCGUAAAGCUCUGUUGGUAGUGAAGAAAGAUAGAGGUAGUAACUGGCCUUUAUUUGACGGUAAUUACUUAGAAAGUCACGGCUAACUACGUGCCAGCAGCCGCGGUAAUACGUAGGUGGCAAGCGUUGUCCGGAUUUAUUGGGCGUAAAGCGAGUGCAGGCGGUUCAAUAAGUCUGAUGUGAAAGCCUUCGGCUCAACCGGAGAAUUGCAUCAGAAACUGUUGAACUUGAGUGCAGAAGAGGAGAGUGGAACUCCAUGUGUAGCGGUGGAAUGCGUAGAUAUAUGGAAGAACACCAGUGGCGAAGGCGGCUCUCUGGUCUGCAACUGACGCUGAGGCUCGAAAGCAUGGGUAGCGAACAGGAUUAGAUACCCUGGUAGUCCAUGCCGUAAACGAU
RNAcentral lists this ribosomal RNA (690 nucleotides) under uncultured bacterium. RNAcentral describes it as "bacterial SSU rRNA". It matches the Rfam family "Bacterial small subunit ribosomal RNA", at positions 133 to 810 of the family's 1533-position model. The record is from RNAcentral.